CCCUUAGAUGUCCUGGGCCGCACGCGCGUUACACUGAUGCAUUCAACGAGCUUAUAACCUUGGCCGAGAGGCCUGGGCAAUCUUGUUAACGUGCAUCGUGCUAGGGAUAGAUUAUUGAAAUUAUUAAUCUUGAACGAGGAAUUCCUAGUAAACGCAGAUCAUCAAUCUGCAUUGAUUACGUCCCUGCCCUUUGUACACACCGCCCGUCGCACCUACCGAUUGGAUGGUCCGGUGAAGCCUCGGGAUUGUGGUUCUUGCCGCUUUAUUGUGGCGUGACCGCGAGAACUUGUCUAAACCUUAUCAUCUAGAGGAAGGUGAAGUCGUAACA
RNAcentral lists this ribosomal RNA (328 nucleotides) under uncultured eukaryote. Its description in RNAcentral is "partial 18S ribosomal RNA". It matches the Rfam family "Eukaryotic small subunit ribosomal RNA", at positions 1470 to 1796 of the family's 1831-position model. The record is from RNAcentral.